GGCGGAUGCCAGCGGUUCGAGUCCGCUUAUCUCCA
RNAcentral lists this transfer RNA (35 nucleotides) under Plagiogyria glauca. RNAcentral's name for it is "partial tRNA-Ala". The record is from RNAcentral. Lineage: Eukaryota; Viridiplantae; Streptophyta; Polypodiopsida; Cyatheales; Plagiogyriaceae.